This 253-nucleotide ribosomal RNA is filed under the name uncultured Blautia sp. RNAcentral's name for it is "partial 16S ribosomal RNA". It matches the Rfam family "Bacterial small subunit ribosomal RNA", at positions 524 to 776 of the family's 1533-position model. Lineage: Bacteria; Bacillati; Bacillota; Clostridia; Lachnospirales; Lachnospiraceae. The record is from RNAcentral.
UACGUAGGGGGCAAGCGUUAUCCGGAUUUACUGGGUGUAAAGGGAGCGUAGACGGCGGUGCAAGCCAGAUGUGAAAGCCCGGGGCUCAACCCCGGGACUGCAUUUGGAACUGUAUGGCUGGAGUGUCGGAGAGGCAGGCGGAAUUCCUAGUGUAGCGGUGAAAUGCAUAGAUAUCGCGCAGAACUCCGAUUGCGAAGGCAGCAUGCCGGCUCCACACUGACGCUGAGGCACGAAAGCGUGGGUAUCGAACAGG